UUUCUCUUGUUAAUAAUUAGGAGGUAUAACCUGCCCAAUGAUAGUUAAUAUUUAAUGGCCGCGGUAUUUUGACCGUGCAAAGGUAGCAUAAUCAUUAGUCUCUUAAUUGGGGGCUGGGAUGAAAGGUUGAACGAAAUAGAGUCUGUCUCUUUUGUAAAUUUUGAAUUUAAGGUUUAAGUAAAAACUCUUAAAUAUUUUUGUGGGACGAUAAGACCCUAUAGAUUUUGAUAUAAUUUUUAAUUGGUUAGUGUGGUGUUGGUGAUGUUGAUUUAAAAUUAUAAAUUUGUAUUUUGUUGGGGUGACUAUGAAAUAUUUAAAUUUUCAUAAAUUGGUUGUGUUAUUAAUUUAUAUUUUUUUGAUCCAUUGUUUGAUUGAUUAUAAGACUAAAUUACCUUAGGGAUAACAGCGUAAUUUUUCUGGAGAGUUCUUAUUGAUGGGGAAGAUUGCGA
RNAcentral lists this ribosomal RNA (449 nucleotides) under Tivia sp. 1 DJGI-2006. RNAcentral's name for it is "partial 16S ribosomal RNA". The stretch from base 1 to 191 matches the Rfam family "Archaeal large subunit ribosomal RNA", at positions 1912 to 2143 of the family's 2987-position model. Lineage: Eukaryota; Metazoa; Arthropoda; Insecta; Blattodea; Corydiidae. The record is from RNAcentral.